CAUAUACUCCCUCCGUUCCGAAUUACUUGUCUUAGAUUUGUCUAGAUACGGAUGUAUUUAGCACUAAAAUGAGUCUAGAUACAUUUGUAUCUAGACAAAUCCAUGACAAGUAAUUUAGAACGGAGGGAGUAUAUA
Non-coding RNA from Triticum urartu, 135 nucleotides. Lineage: Eukaryota; Viridiplantae; Streptophyta; Magnoliopsida; Poales; Poaceae. The record is from Rfam.